Meriones unguiculatus (Mongolian gerbil) is the source of this 4961-nucleotide long non-coding RNA. RefSeq lists it as uncharacterized. The transcript is spliced from 4 exons. Lineage: Eukaryota; Metazoa; Chordata; Mammalia; Rodentia; Muridae. The record is from RefSeq and is a predicted model, not a curated record.
AGAUGGUGCUGCAGGUUGGGCAGUUGCGGGAAUGCUUGCCAGUGCAGCUGCAGUGGUGCAGGAAGGAACUGGAGCUGGCUGCUGUGGAAGCGGUGAGCACAGGUGUCACCGGUGUGCGGGUGUGUUGGUGGACUGCUGGCUGGGCACUCCGGCUGCGGCCCUCCCUGCCUGCUCUGCGUCUGCAGGGCUUGCCCACCUCCCUCACCCUCCACAUGGUCACACAAGUGCCUGGUUUUGCAUUUGGUGGAAAUCCCUGCUACUCUGGGCACAGUGAUAAGGGCACAGGCCAUGGUACUUCAGCAGAUGGCGAGGAAAGCCCCAUGUCUCCUAUAGAGUUUGCUGCACAGGGAACAGGCAUGGGCCUUCUCACCUGUGGGCACCUCCUGGGGCUGACUAGCUGGGAACUUUGCAUGAGGCAGCCUCCACAGGCCUGGCAGGAAAGGGGUCAUUUGCCAAUAUGGACUCAGCUGUGGGUUGCUAGGUGUUUGCUGCGUUGGAAGGCCUUGCCAUAGUCACCGUACGCAUAAGGCUUGCUUUCCUGGAGAGAACUGUGCUGCCAGGAUCUUCUGAGGACUGGUGGUCCUUGUCCGUGGCAUGGAUGCUCAGGUGACGCUCUAAGCUGGCGCUCACUGGAAGAACUGCCUGCAGUGGGAGCAGACGGCAACUGCCAUCUUUGGCACUUUCAUCUUGUCUUCUGGGUCUGGCAUUGGAUUUUGUUCCUGGGCAUGUAGGUGCCAGUAGGUGUUGCAUGAGGCUGGACCAACACUGGAAGCCCUAGGCACACUCAGUGCAUUGGAAGGUGAGCUCAGAGGACAGCGUUGACUUUGCCACGUAGGAGCUCUGGUGGCAGUGGUGGCUGCAGAGGUGACGCGUGUGUGGCUGCUCAUUUUUGUGUGUGUGCGUGUGCAACUUGAGGGUGGAGCUGAGCCUUGGGGUCUCUUCGUACCACAGACACGGGAAGGAAUGAGAGCCUGGGUGAGACCAUAGCAGGUGGGCGUGUGGGUGGACAGCUGUAGAUCGCUCAUUCCACACUGUACAUAUGUUCCUCUGUCUCAGACCUUGGGGCUACUCUGGUUUCCAUAACAUCACUGCCCUACUGUCUGGGUAAGAACAGGCUCCCCGGAAACUCUAGGACUUUCCUUGUGGGGCUCUGAUGAAAUGAUGAUGAGCCAAGCAGUCUCUUUAGGCUCUCCGAUUUUAUGUUCCUCUUUGGCACUCUACUGCCAAAACCAAGAGUGUUGGCAGACCAAGCCUUCUUCUCUGAGAUCUCCUCAAAGGCAAGGACUUCAAUAAAGCUGUCACCUCUUCGUUUCUGAAAUUCUCUUUCAGCCUUAAUGGGCCCUGGGAGGGAUGGCUUUCUUGCAGGAACUGGAGUAUACUCUAGGGCUCUGGGCUCACUGGCCACUUUGAACUUGAGGCCAGUCUCCACUCUUUGGGCUCAGCAGGCCCAGUAGGCACUGGCUAAGAUAGGGAGUAAUUCAUUCAGUGGAUGCACACAGUGCUGGAGUCUGUUCUAAGGGCAGCUCCGUUCUGGGGUUGUGGCUGAGGACCUGGUAAAGGUCAUUCUCUUUCUCCGAGAUGAUGUCUACAGGGAGACAACUCUUGCUAGCACUGCAGCUCAUGUCCUCACAUGGUGUCUCCAGGCACGUCCUCCAGCAGCCUACCACCUCCCUUCCAUCCUUAAACUUCUGGUCCUGCAGGUGGUCCAGCACAUCCUGAGGCAGCCAGACAGAAACUGCCCCAGCACCAACAGCUGUACUCUCCGCUUCCGGGUGUUCAGAGCCACCCACAGCCAGUGGUUGCAGAGUUCCUGAAGCUGGCUCAGGGAUGCCCCUGGCUUCCUGAUGCUGGAAGCCAACAACCUUAUCUUUCUCCACGUUCACUGCUCUAAGCUGCUCUUGUUUCAGGGUUUCUGGGACUAGUUCUACCAGCAUCUUUCACACCUCCUGCAACUGGAUCGGACCCUUAGAACCCUUUUCUCAGCUUCUCCCACAUCUGUGGAGUCCAGAGGCUGAGAUGUUUGGGGGUUUGGAGGGAUCCAGAACAAGAACCAGCUUAGGCCAGCCAAGGGAAGGACUCCAGGAAAAUGGAACAGAAGGAGUCUUUGCUUUUCCAUGGCUGAACAACUUUAAUUGUGUUACUGCUGUUCUGAGGAUUUCAGUCCCCAUGACUUCAAAUAAAAGACCGUUAGGCAGGAAUAAGAAAAGGAAACCACCACUCUACUUUCUGUUUGGCAGAUUUUGACUCUUUCAGGGAUUUCAGGUUACUUGUUCCAAGGAUUUUGCUGGACCCAGUGAGGGAGUAUUACUGAAUAUUCUGAGAACUGUCUCUUCUGCCCUGUGAGUGACCUUCUCAGCACGGCGCCAUGCCUCAGGGGUGGCUGGAGACAGACAGGAGUCUUCUCGAGCAGGGGCAAGAGUGUGCAUGUUGGGAUGCUGUGGGGUGAGCAGUCUUCCUAUCUUCUCCAACUCUGUACUCGAGGCAUCCCAGGCAGUGUGGCUUUCCCUCAGCUGUGGAACAUUGUUUCUCUGAAGUGGCACCCAGACUGCACAGGUCUGGGGCACGGGGUGAAACAAGCCAGCAGAGGAAUAGGCACCACGCUGCUGUUAAUGGUUAGUUCAUAUAUGUUUUGAAAGAAAUUGCUAAAGACUGGGUUGGCUGAUGUAAUAGAAAACCCUUUUUGUGUUCUCCCAUAGACACUCAUUUUUUUUUCAAAGAAUAAAAAUUCAAUUCAGCUACUUGGAAUUCAGGCAGCCAUGAAAUCUUACCCACCCUCUCUUCCUCCUCCUCCUUUCCCUCCUCCUUUCUUCCUCCUCCUUUCUUUCCCCUCCCUCAUUUGAAGUUCUUUUGCAUUGGAAACAUAGUAAAUUUUCUUUUAUUAAGAAAUGACUUUGUGGUGACAAAUCUACAUAUCCAUUUUCCAUUCUUAUCCUUUAUGUUCUGUUCUCAUCAAGCUGACUGUACAGAGAUCUGACAAUUCUGUUCAUCAUGCAUUUCAAUGUUCUCCAAAGCCGAGACAUUAACCUUUUCCUUCCAUUUCCCAAUUUGCUUUUUACCCACUCAUGCUAUUUUCUCCAGACUAGGUGAAGAAAAAAAAUGUAAAAAACAUUUCUCUUCACAUCACAUGUUAUCAAAAGCCCUCUUGUGGGAUGAAGUUCAGCUCUUUCACAGUGGCCCUUUGAUAGCUAAAAAUCUGGUGUUCAGCAAUUACUUCUUUUUGAGAACUCCAAGUACAUCCAGCCUUGCAGUUUUUUUAAACAAUUGGCUCUGUUCUCUGGGUCCGUUUCUCAUCUCACUCGGCUCCCCAUAGAGACAGAAGACAGACCCUCUGUCUCUGCUGAAGGAGAACAACUGACAUUUAUGUCCCAGCUGGAAGCAGAGGGGUGGAUUGACUGAGGCAGGCUUUCGUUCUUCCUUGAGCUGAAAUUGAGAUAUGGCUUUGUUAUAUGUUUGUCUAAUCUUAUUUCAGGCUCUCCUAUACAAAUCCUAGUGGGAGAUAGAAAGCAAAGCUGCAACAUGUGUGUUGAGCUUGGAAUGAGAAACUUUAAUCCUUGCAAAAAUGGUAUUGUGUAAAUUCCAGACUGCAACGAAUCACGGUAGAUUCAGACAGUGGCGGGAACGGUUCACUUUCCCUUUUAAUAUUCAGUGUGCACAUUCAUGAAGUAACGCGACCUUCUGAAUGCAUAUUUCUUCUAAAUUUCCUUCAGGCCUGUAUUUAUUUUAUUUGCUGAAGCCCCAGUGGCUUAUAUGAAGUGCACCAGAUGUUUUUCAUCUGCAGACAGUGCACCUGACAGUCAGAGGCCGAGCAGGUUUGCUGGUGGCCAGCUGUUCACUUGUGCCCUCGGCGUCAGUAUACAUUUUAACUGCAUGCAGCAUGUAAAAGGCUCCAUUUAUUGGACACUAACGUUCUGGGCCCUCUGCUGCAGGCGUUAGCUUCAUGAGCACUUUUAUGGCUUCUAUGGUCCUAUAGAGUAUAUCUUCGUACUAUGUACUAGCUCAGCACCUUGUUGAUGAGAAAACCACGGAUUCACAAAGAUAAAUAGCCUUCCCAAUGUUACAUAGAUAGAAGUCAGAGAGCAAACCUGGGGUCUGGGUAUAAAUCAUUACUGUGUUAUAAGGUUGUCACUCCUGGACUAGCCCUCCUGCUUCUGUUAGAUAAAUCCCUGGAAGAAUGGUCUCACCUUUAGGUACUUUCAUCCCACCUCUACAAGAUUUAUACAGCAGAUAACUCCUGUAUAAGAAUGCCCUCAUCCUUGGGAUUCCUACCCUGUGUCAACUUAAAAAAAGGCUCAGCCAUUUUGACCUCCAUAAAAGUAUUUUUUCUUCUCCAAGCAUCUCUCUAUGUGUUCACAUUUAUGCAUGAGUUUUAGUAAGUUUUACUGAGGAUAUGGGGAUUUGGAGGGCCAUUUCCAUCUUUACAUUUCAUAUAAACUCAUUUGAAACGAUCUGCAUUUCGGAAAUCCGUAUUGCUUGUGUAAUAUUUGUUGUCACGUGGUCUCCUGCUAAACCUGCUGCCUUUAGAGGUUUCCUUUAAGAAGGUUUCCCAAAGAGAAUGCUGGCGCUGCCUCUUCAAGUAGUUUCUUUUCAAAUUCUACCGCUGAAUUCAAAGACUAAAAGACCUGUGUUGUCACUCCCCUCUCCCUCUUUUUUCCCUUCCUCCCUUCUCUCUCCUUCCCUUUCUCCUCCCUUCCCUCUUCCUCUAAAGCACAAUAAAAAUAGAAAGUGUUGGAUUAACUGAUUAUUUUCUAGCAUCAACAAAAAUAUGUAGAGAAGAGAGCCUGGGAGAGCAGAGGAUUAGCGUGAAGCAGGACUGACCCAGCGGAAGUUUGGCAAGCAGCAAACUCUCGGUAUAGACACGUCGUCAUUGCUGCAAUUAUUCUUCUAAUGAUAAAAUUGAUGCAUAUAAACUCAUUCUAGGAAUAAAACUGGAAAAUGUAACAAAGCUAUGAAUAAACAUACAA